Molecule: ribosomal RNA, 470 nt
Filed under: uncultured soil bacterium
Lineage: Bacteria
Description: bacterial SSU rRNA
Rfam family: Bacterial small subunit ribosomal RNA
Source: RNAcentral
AGAAUGAACGCUGGCGGCGUGCCUAACACAUGCAAGUCGCACGAGAAAGGGGCCUUCGGGUCCUUAGUAAAGUGGCGAACGGGUGAGUAACGCGUAGGUAACCUGUCCUCGAGUGUGGAAUAACCUGGCGAAAGCCGGGCUAAUACCGCAUGAUGUCCAUGGGUCUUCGGAUUUGUGGACCAAAGGUGGCGAGCUUUGAGUGCUGUCGCUCGAGAAGGGGCCUGCGUCCCAUUAGCUAGUUGGUGGGGUAACGGCCUACCAAGGCUACGAUGGGUAGCCGGGCUGAGAGGCUGUCCGGCCACACUGGAACUGAGACACGGUCCAGACUCCGUACGGGAGGCGAGCAGGUGGGGAAUCUUGCGCAAGUGGGGGAAACCCUGACGCAGCGACGCCGCGUGGGCGAUGAAGGCCUCGGUCGUAAAGCCUGUCGAGUGGACGAAACGUGCGACGCUACUAACAUAGCUCGUGCC